Long non-coding RNA from Patiria miniata (bat star), 210 nucleotides. RefSeq lists it as uncharacterized. The transcript is spliced from 2 exons. NCBI's taxonomy places the organism in Eukaryota, Metazoa, Echinodermata, Asteroidea, Valvatida, Asterinidae. The record is from RefSeq and is a predicted model, not a curated record.
AUCCAUGCUGCAACGUAAGAACGCAUCAAAUCAAGUAUUCAUGGUCUGUGUGUACUAGACGUACAUGAGAUAUCUCUAGUAGAGGACAUCAAUCAUGCUGCACAUGAAGAAGCCAAGAUAAGUUCCUCAACACAAAGGAUUGGACUCCUGGGAACACUGCUCAAGCAACCCACGGUGAGUAAUGCAGUGUUGCAUUCAUGUUGCAUUCAG